GAUGAACGCUGGCGGCGUGCCUAAUACAUGCAAGUCGAGCGAACAGAUGAGGAGCUUGCUCCUCUGACGUUAGCGGCGGACGGGUGAGUAACACGUGGAUAACCUACCUAUAAGACUGGGAUAACUUCGGGAAACCGGAGCUAAUACCGGAUAAUAUAUUGAACCGCAUGGUUCAAUAGUGAAAGACGGUUUUGCUGUCACUUAUAGAUGGAUCCGCGCCGCAUUAGCUAGUUGGUAAGGUCACGGCUUACCAAGGCAACGAUGCGUAGCCGACCUGAGCGGGGGAUCGGCCACACUGGAGCUGGGACACGGUCAAGACUCCUACGGGAGGCAGCAGUAGGGAAUCUGCCGCAAUGGGCGAAAGCCUGACGGAGCAACGCCGAGUGAGUGAUGAAGGUCUUCGGAUCGUAAAACUCUGUUAUGAGGGAAGAACAAAUGUGUAAGUAACUAUGCACGUCUUGACGGUACCUAAUCAGAAAGCCACGGCUAACUACGUG
RNAcentral lists this ribosomal RNA (497 nucleotides) under uncultured bacterium. RNAcentral's name for it is "partial 16S ribosomal RNA". It matches the Rfam family "Bacterial small subunit ribosomal RNA", at positions 28 to 507 of the family's 1533-position model. The record is from RNAcentral.